This 253-nucleotide ribosomal RNA is filed under the name uncultured bacterium. RNAcentral's name for it is "partial 16S ribosomal RNA". It matches the Rfam family "Bacterial small subunit ribosomal RNA", at positions 524 to 776 of the family's 1533-position model. The record is from RNAcentral.
UACGGAGGGUGCAAGCGUUAUCCGGAUUCACUGGGUUUAAAGGGUGCGUAGGUGGAUUGCCAAGUCCGUGGUGAAAUCUCUGAGCUUAACUCAGAAACUGCCGUGGAUACUGGUAAUCUUGAAUGCCGUGGAGGUUAGCGGAAUAUGUCAUGUAGCGGUGAAAUGCUUAGAUAUGACAUAGAACACCGAUUGCGAAGGCAGCUGACUACACGGUGAUUGACACUGAGGCACGAAAGCGUGGGGAUCAAACAGG